CAAACUUUACAGCAAAUGGUGACAUUGUCCUCGUGUUUUACUGACAUUUUUCUUGUGAUAUAGCAGUAUUAAGUCCCUUUACUAUGGAACAGUGCAGAUCCUGACACAGGAGUACCUUGCUGAGGUUCAUUUUAAUCAACCAGUACAGAUGUGGAUUAAUCAAUUGGAAAAGGACAAAGAUGUUAUUGCUCAGGCACAAGCAAUUGCAGCUCUUGAAGCAUCACCCCGGUCAUCGUUUUCUUUUGUGAAUGCUCUAAACAAUUUUCUCUGUGACUCCCAAGGAUGAACAUCAGAAACAGAUUGGGAGCAAUAUCUGCCAAUGUUGAAAAGGAUUUGGAGAGAUGGCAUAAUGCAAGGAAUGCAAGGAUUUUGAUAAUGUGCACAUGAAGUGAACAGCUAACUAUUUUAUGUGAUUAUAUUUUGUAGCAUAGCCUUCUCUAUCAAUGUAUCAAUGUAUCAAUGUGCCACUGUUCUGUGUGAUAAUGUGCCACUGUCUCAAUGUGCCCUUAACUAGCAAAUAAAUAAAUAAAUUAUUUUUUUUGGAAUA
Lotus japonicus is the source of this 547-nucleotide long non-coding RNA. RefSeq lists it as uncharacterized. The transcript has 3 exons. The record is from RefSeq and is a predicted model, not a curated record. NCBI's taxonomy places the organism in Eukaryota, Viridiplantae, Streptophyta, Magnoliopsida, Fabales, Fabaceae.